RNAcentral lists this transfer RNA (72 nucleotides) under Globisporangium irregulare DAOM BR486. Its description in RNAcentral is "tRNA-Val for anticodon CAC". It matches the Rfam family "tRNA". From Rfam's summary of the family: Transfer RNA (tRNA) molecules are approximately 80 nucleotides in length. Their secondary structure includes four short double-helical elements and three loops (D, anti-codon, and T loops). Further hydrogen bonds mediate the characteristic L-shaped molecular structure. tRNAs have two regions of fundamental functional importance: the anti-codon, which is responsible for specific mRNA codon recognition, and the 3' end, to which the tRNAs corresponding amino acid is attached (by aminoacyl-tRNA synthetases). tRNAs cope with the degeneracy of the genetic code in two manners: having more than one tRNA (with a specific anti-codon) for a particular amino acid; and 'wobble' base-pairing, i.e. permitting non-standard base-pairing at the 3rd anti-codon position. The record is from RNAcentral. Lineage: Eukaryota; Oomycota; Peronosporomycetes; Pythiales; Pythiaceae.
GCUGGUGUAGCUCAGUGGUAGAGUGCUCGUUUCACAAACGAGAGGUCGAUGGUUCGAAUCCACCCACCAGCA